This 261-nucleotide ribosomal RNA is filed under the name uncultured archaeon. RNAcentral describes it as "partial 16S ribosomal RNA". It matches the Rfam family "Archaeal small subunit ribosomal RNA", at positions 748 to 1008 of the family's 1478-position model. The record is from RNAcentral.
CAGCCGUAAACGAUGCUCGCUAGGUGUCAGGCAUGGCGUGACUGUGUUUGGUGCCGAAGGGAAACCGUGAAACGUGCCGCCUGGGAAGUACGGUCGCAAGGCUGAAACUUAAAGGAAUUGGCGGGGGAGCACCACAACAGGUGGAGCCUGCGGUUUAAUUGGACUCAACGCCGGGAAGCUCACCGGAUAGGACAGCAGAAUGAUUGCCGGGCUGAAGACCCUGCAUGACUAGCUGAGAGGAGGUGCAUGGCGUCAGUGACU